Molecule: long non-coding RNA, 319 nt
Filed under: Nicotiana benthamiana
Lineage: Eukaryota; Viridiplantae; Streptophyta; Magnoliopsida; Solanales; Solanaceae
Description: long non-coding RNA (NBEN_LNC016954)
Source: RNAcentral
UAGGGCUGCAUCUCCUUGGGCUACUUCUCCAAGGAUCGCCUCUCCAAGAGCAGCUUCUUUGAGCGUCAUCUCUCCUAGGGCAGCUUCUCCAAGGGCUACCUCUCCUAGGGCAGAUUCUCCUAAAGCUACCUCUCAUAGGGCAGCUUCUCCAAAGGCUAUCUCUCCUACGGCAGCUUCUCCAAAGGCUAUCUAUCCUAGGGCAGCUUCUCCAACGGCUACCUCUCCUAAGGCAGCUUCUCCAAGGGUCUCUUCAACUAGAGCUAAUUAUCCUGAGGUGAGUAGUAACCACAAAGAGAUUAGCUCUGCUAACGGACUAGAA